AUUGAACGCUGGCGGCAUGCCUUACACAUGCAAGUCGAACGGCAGCACGGGUGCUUGCACCUGGUGGCGAGUGGCGAACGGGUGAGUAAUACAUCGGAACGUACCUUAUCGUGGGGGAUAACGCAGCGAAAGCUGUGCUAAUACCGCAUACGCCCUGAGGGGAAAAGCGGGGGAUCGCAAGACCUCGCGCGAUUAGAGCGGCCGAUGCCUGAUUAGCUUGUUGGUGGGGUAAAAGCCCACCAAGGCGACGAUCAGUAGCUGGUCUGAGAGGACGAUCAGCCACACUGGGACUGAGACACGGCCCAGACUCCUACGGGAGGCAGCAGUGGGGAAUUUUGGACAAUGGGGGCAACCCUGAUCCAGCAAUGCCGCGUGAGUGAAGAAGGCCUUCGGGUUGUAAAGCUCCUUUGUCAGGGAAGAAACACCGGCUCUAACACAGUCCGGGAAUGACGGUACCUGAAGAAUAAGCACCGGCUAACUACGUGCCAGCCGCCGCCGUAG
RNAcentral lists this ribosomal RNA (501 nucleotides) under uncultured bacterium. Its description in RNAcentral is "partial 16S ribosomal RNA". It matches the Rfam family "Bacterial small subunit ribosomal RNA", at positions 29 to 523 of the family's 1533-position model. The record is from RNAcentral.